CGGGACGGUCCCCCGAGACAUACGAGGGCAGGAGUGGGGGACCCACAGGUUCCACGCCGGUCCGCGCCGGCCUGCACGCAGGCCCGCGCGCGAACGGCUCGGGGUGAAGCCACCGCACGGUGGCGGGGCACUUUCCAGCCCUAAUCCGACAGCUGACCUCACAGGCGUGGGAAAGGAAGCA
RNAcentral lists this small RNA (181 nucleotides) under metagenome. RNAcentral describes it as "ydaO-yuaA". It matches the Rfam family "c-di-AMP riboswitch aptamer (ydaO/yuaA leader)". Rfam says of the family: This family represents a conserved RNA structure found upstream of the ydaO and yuaA genes in Bacillus subtilis and related genes in other bacteria. The ydaO/yuaA element is thought to act as a genetic "off" switch for the ydaO and yuaA genes in its native state. The record is from RNAcentral.